UACGGAGGGUCCAAGCGUUAUCCGGAAUCAUUGGGUUUAAAGGGUCCGUAGGCGGUUUUGUAAGUCAGUGGUGAAAGCCCAUCGCUCAACGGUGGAACGGCCAUUGAUACUGCAAGACUUGAAUUAUUGGGAAGCAACUAGAAUAUGUAGUGUAGCGGUGAAAUGCUUAGAGAUUACAUGGAAUACCAAUUGCGAAGGUAGGUUGCUACCAAUACAUUGACGCUGAUGGACGAAAGCGUGGGGAGCGAACAGG
Molecule: ribosomal RNA, 253 nt
Filed under: uncultured bacterium
Lineage: Bacteria
Description: partial 16S ribosomal RNA
Rfam family: Bacterial small subunit ribosomal RNA
Source: RNAcentral